This 529-nucleotide ribosomal RNA is filed under the name Lamellibrachia anaximandri. RNAcentral's name for it is "partial 16S ribosomal RNA". It matches the Rfam family "Bacterial large subunit ribosomal RNA", at positions 1809 to 2607 of the family's 2925-position model. The record is from RNAcentral. Lineage: Eukaryota; Metazoa; Annelida; Polychaeta; Sabellida; Siboglinidae.
AAAAACAUUGCCUCUCGACUCAACAAUGAGAGGUUCAUCCUGCCCAAUGACAACAUAGUUCAAUGGCCGCGGUACCCUGACCGUGCAAAGGUAGCAUAAUCACUUGCCCCUUAAUUAGGGGCUGGCAUGAAAGGACACACGAAAGCUUCCCUGUCUCACAAUAACAAAUAAAAAUUAAUCUUCAAGUGAAAAAGCUUGAAUAAAAUUGCAGGACAAGAAGACCCCGUUGAGCUUUAUUCUCUAUAGACUAAAUCAAAUAUUAAAUACAUCAUAAACCUAAAAAGAAUUUAGUUGGGGUGACUAAGGAACACCGAAAACUUCCUUUUAUUAAUUAGGAUCAUUCUCCAUACAAAUUGACCCAUUACACAUGAUCAAAAAAAUAAGCUACCACAGGGAUAACAGGCUAAUCUUUCUCAAGAGCCCAAAUUGUCAGAAAGGAUUGGCACCUCGAUGUUGGCUUAGGGGCCCCUAAUGGUGCAGAAGCCAUAAAUGGUAGGUUUGUUCAACCUUUAAAACCCUACGUGAUCUG